RNAcentral lists this transfer RNA (71 nucleotides) under Marmota monax (woodchuck). RNAcentral's name for it is "tRNA.Ala". The stretch from base 6 to 66 matches the Rfam family "tRNA", at positions 6 to 65 of the family's 71-position model. From Rfam's summary of the family: Transfer RNA (tRNA) molecules are approximately 80 nucleotides in length. Their secondary structure includes four short double-helical elements and three loops (D, anti-codon, and T loops). The record is from RNAcentral. Lineage: Eukaryota; Metazoa; Chordata; Mammalia; Rodentia; Sciuridae.
GGGGAUGUGGCUCAGUGGUAGAGUGCUUGCCUAGCAUGCAUGAGGCACUGGGUUUGAUCCUCAGCACUACA